AGUUCUAUGCAUGGGAUAAAAUAGCACUGGGCCAUUGUAAAUUGAGAUGAAUAAUCAUUUCAUCUCUUCUGCAUGCCCGGUCUAGACAUUG
This 91-nucleotide small nucleolar RNA is filed under the name Myotis lucifugus (little brown bat). RNAcentral describes it as "Small nucleolar RNA SNORA20 (ENSMLUG00000024736.1)". Lineage: Eukaryota; Metazoa; Chordata; Mammalia; Chiroptera; Vespertilionidae. The record is from RNAcentral.